Molecule: long non-coding RNA, 1470 nt
Organism: Salvia splendens (bonfire salvia)
Lineage: Eukaryota; Viridiplantae; Streptophyta; Magnoliopsida; Lamiales; Lamiaceae
Exons: 10
Source: RefSeq, a predicted model, not a curated record
CUCUUGAUAGUUUCAUCACGGAACUGUUGCUAUGGCCUUUGGAAGUCAACUUUUGAUAGGGUUCCACAGAUGGAUGAUGGAAAUCAACUUUUGAGAGCUUUGAAUGUUCUGAUGUUAAAGAUUCUAGUAACUAUCACUGUAAAACUUAUUUGGCAAGCAUGGCUAGUUUUUCUCUCUUCUUAUGAAUAUAAUUGUUGUUGGUGGCCGUAUUGCACAUGCAGGAUAACGCAUAACGCAGAGCGUACUUCAUCAUUUGAUGUGCUUAUAAUCUCUUAAGAUUUGAUUAUUACUACUUUGUCAACAAUUGGUGCUCUUGGGACUGCAAUGGGACAGCCACUUGAGAAGUCAAGCAAGGAUUAUGGAAUUGGAAUACAUCAUUCGCCGUAAGUAUAUGAUCACAAACAUGCUCAUGCUUAGUGGAAAGAAGCCUAUUGUUGCAUUGUGUCGGCUGCCACUAAGAAAGCCACGUCUGGAAAAUCUUGUAUUAACAAGAAGGGUGAUGGAGGACAAAAACAAAAGUUUCUAAGCCUAUGGAGCAUGAAGAUGUCGAGCAAACUGAAAUGAGUUUGGAAGAGAUUUAGAGCAGAUUAGGAUCCCUUAUUCAAGUAGAGACAAUUACUCAACUAAAAAGUGUUGGGUGGAAAGAGCUGCUUGAAGGUAUCAAAAAAUUUGAGAGAUAUACAAGGUUCUGCUUUGGCUAUUAUUUGAUAAUGACUGAAGCCAUAUGGAGUUUUCAAGGUAGAUUUGUUUUGUCAAGCAUCGCGUUUAAAAGCAGCCUAAAGACAGAAUAAAUGGUCAUGGCGACCGCGAAUCUGGGCAUGGAAGUAGAAAUGCACCUUCAGUAUGCGUUCUGUGCCUAACAAGGGAUACAGGCAAGAAUCCAUCUUGUGUGUUCAAGACAUCAACAUUAGCAUGAAGGAUUCAACCAAGAAUAAUGUCAUGAAAUCUUUUGGGAGGAUCUGAUCGGAGGCUCUUAAGUGCUGACUUCAAAAGCAAGUUGAUGGCAUUGAGAUGCUGCAGAAGGCUCUUCCAUCCAUGGGAAGGGAGGUGAUUGAAGUCUUAGAUAUAUACUCUUGAAGUGGUUUGUGUUGUGGUUUUUGAAUCCAACACAUCAUGCUUAUUAAAGGUACUUGAAUAUCUUCGCGUGCUUCAGGAUAUGUUGAGAAGUGUGGGCUACAUUGCGGUACCCCAUCUUUCUUCCUAGCUUGGUUGAUAAGGUGAUAAUAUUUGGAGAUAUUUGGAAGCUUACUUAGAAGUUUAGUAAGUUGAGGUUCACAUCAAUUUUUCAUCUGGUUCUUCCACUAUAACAGUUCUUAUGCCUUUUUGAUUCGUGCACAAGAGAUGGAGAAGAAGGAAUGCAAGCCUUGAGAAGCUAGAGCUGCCCUAAGACUACUCUCCGUCCGAGAAAAUAUGUGCAGUUUGUGUAUACUUCCUAAUCUGUGCAAUGUGUAUAUUGUAUUUAUAUUUGUA